CCUACGGGAGGCAGCAGUGAGGAAUCUUGGUCAAUGGCCGUAAGGCUGAACCAGCCAAGUCGCGUGAAGGAAGAAGGAUCUAUGGUUUGUAAACUUCUUUUAUAGGGGAAUAAAGGUAUCCACGUGUGGAUAUUUGCAUGUACCCUAUGAAUAAGCAUCGGCUAACUCCGUGCCAGCAGCCGCGGUAAUACGGAGGAUGCGAGCGUUAUCCGGAUUUAUUGGGUUUAAAGGGUGCGUAGGUUGUUUUUUAAGUCAGCGGUGAAAGUUUGUGGCUCAACCAUAAAAUUGCCGUUGAAACUGGAAGACGUGAGUGUGUUUGAGGUAAGCGGAAUGCGUGGUGUAGCGGUGAAAUGCAUAGAUAUCACGCAGAACUCCGAUUGCGAAGGCAGCUUACUAAGCCAUAACUGACACUGAAGCACGAAAGCGUGGGGAUCAAACAGGAUUAGAUACCCUUGUAGUC
RNAcentral lists this ribosomal RNA (460 nucleotides) under uncultured bacterium. RNAcentral's name for it is "partial 16S ribosomal RNA". It matches the Rfam family "Bacterial small subunit ribosomal RNA", at positions 338 to 795 of the family's 1533-position model. The record is from RNAcentral.